UGCGAAGCACGUCUGCACAAUGGCCUCGCAUAGAUAUCGCGGACUGUAAUUACCUGUCCGAUACAAAAUGGAUGUCAAACGAAUAACCGAUUCGCGGUGGUCGUUGGUUACCCUCCACUUUUGGUUGUUGGUUCUGAAACCGAGGUAUUGCUGGAUAUGCGAGCCGCGGGAGUACCGAAUCGCUAUUGCGGUUUUGGCCUGCCGUACGCCACUUGUCUUAUUACUGCCUGCACGUGUGUAACACCGAUGAGAUGUAUGGGGCACGAUAUCCUCGAUUCGAAAUGAAAAUUCAACGGAUAACCAAAAGCUGAAACGAAUUUGAUGCCGAAUCGUCUGGCCUAUUAAAACGGAAAUGAUAUCUCGAUUCCUUAAUAAUGAAAUAAAACAUGGCCAAGAAAGAGUUGCAUAUUUAUGUGCGAGAAAAAUUGUAGAUUAACGGAAUAAUCAUCAAAUGAAGGUACCCUUUAUCCGAGAGAAGGGCAAUGGUCUGUCGUAAAUAUUUAACGCGAAAUUUGACCCGAUUAUCUCUCCAGUCAUCCAAAAAAAAAUGAUCAAAAGUUGAGGGCACCCAUACUUACGAAAAACUUUUAGAUUCUUGAGAACCUUUCACAAUUUCUGACAAUGUGUUAUUUGAAACAGACCGAUAUUAUAUGGACCACAUUGUAGCUUCCUGAACUUUUGAAGAUUAUCAAUGUGAACUAAACCUUAUAAAUAACAUGCAGUCUUUUCUGGAAACAAAACGAAUGAUAUUCUCUAGAUUCCAGAGCAAUAACAAUUUUGCUAAACUUUUGUCACAUCCAUUCCGUUUUAAUGUUAAGAAAUAUUUCUUACAAAGUAGGUAUGUAUGUGGCUGACUUCACAAAUGUCGCGAAUACUAGGAUAUUGAAAGUUUCUGCGGAAGCGGUAGUAAUAUUGUUCCAUUGAAUCCAUCUAGUUCAGCGUUACUUUCACAUUACUGUGCAAAGUAUUUUGCCAAUUUGGUGAGCAUACUUUAGCCUAGAUAUCAAGCAUUUCUUCGGUAACUAGAAACGUAAAUAAGCAUUCUCCCUGAUCGACCGACGGUUGAGAUAGCAUUUUCGGGUUACUCCAGAAUUUGAAUAUUGUGCGUAUGUAUCCGGAUCCCCUUGAACUCAACGCAGCCACGUUAAAGUGUCCAUAGGGAUGGAACGAUAACGCCUCACUACCAUGUAAUCCAAUAUCUAAUCCGAUCAUAGCGAUCGUUCACAAAGAUUAUUGCUAUAGGCGAAGAAGGACCAUAUAUAAGGUACGACGAUUUUCAGGUAGAACUCCGGAAGUGCAAAGGGAUGCAAAUAUCCAAAUUCAGUGGCUCUCCCAGCCUUGGCCCUUUUCCAUGUUUUCGACGGUUUCGAAAAGUUAUGGACGAGCCUUUGCCAGAAGUUUAUACGAAGGUAUACCUACAAGUGUUGUACGUGAGAUGGUUUAAGUCUGACAUCUCAUAUUAUAGCCGAUAUCCUUGAAAUUACAGACUUGAUCGAAUCCACGGUAAUUUUAUUUCUAGUAGUUACUCUUGAAGUGUUAAUUCAUGGACGAUAACAAGGUCGAGGCUAGCGAUACUCUGACAAAAUUUUUGUUGGUGAUGUUGGAAGGCAAAUGGUCACUUGACCAUUACAGGGUAAAUUUCAUCUGCUAUCGAAAGGUGGGAAAAGCUGGCCCUUCGCAAUGCUGAUAAUUUUCUCUCUGGUGACGCAGAUCCUGCUCAGGUAUACUCAUAUCGUCGGGUUUGUCAAAAUUAGCUGGUAAUUUUAAUUGAUUUAUGAUCCGCCUCAUGAAUAUGCAUCGCUCUCCCAUCCUUUCCUGUAGGAGUUCUACACACAUGACGUGUAAAGGUGUAAGCCAGCAUGUAAUUCCUAUAUCUCAACUUGGCAGCCAAACAGGCCCUUUAAUCAUCCGUUAUAUCUUUCCCGUCGAAGAGACGAAGUCGCAGGAUGAUGGAUCCCGGUUCCAAGCGUUUAUUAACCUACCCACGAAAUGAAGAUUGAUAGAACUGUUUCUUAACAUCGGGUUAGAGAUCGAGCUUUUAUCGAUGCUUAUACAAAACUGCCGAAUGAGACGUAAAGCGAGCUCGAAAAAGUGGAGUAAAAAUUUUCGUCGCGCAAACAGUAAAGGUAGGUACGUGUGUGCAUAAAUAUGUGUACGGUUAUAUGAUACCUCGGUCUGAUCACCCUCGCAUUUGAGCCACCGCUCUUUCCUUUCGUUUUUUCUGUCUGUCAGACCGCUUACGCUCACCUCUUUCCAUGACGGUGAAAAAAAAAUGUUUCGACACACCCCGAUGAAUCCAGCGCAUCUCAAAGCCUGAUGGAGCAUGGGUUUAAAUAAGGAGCGUUAAUGUUUGUAGGUAUACGAUAGAUGGCGAGUCCGUUGUCAUUGAAUUGGUGAACCACGUCGUUUCAUCCGUGAUACACCGUUGGAGCUUUUACGUUUGGUUCUUUUAUCCAACUGUUGUCUUAGCAAGGGCGACUUUGAUUCCGUGCCAAAUGGCAACGGAACGGAGAACAAGGACAGUCCCCUGAUACUCACAACAUGGAGUCCCUUGUAGUGUAAAACGAUGGGGAGGAAUAAGAACAAAAAGUUAAGGAAGAUACGAGGGGAAAAGAGGGUGUAUCGAAAGCGUAUAGGAGGCAGAGAUUGGCAGGAGUCGAAUUACGAAGGAUGAAGGAAAUAGGAAAUCAAAAUAGCAAUUUCAUGGUGGCUGGGAAGCUUCCCGUGGAUGAGUUCGAUGCCGACCUAUUCGGGUGAAUGGGAUGUUGACUGAGGAUUCGGCUAGUCGAAAAAGAGGUGGUUGGUGACAUGCCGCAACGCUCGACGAGACAGUCGUGAUUCGAAUCUAGCGGAAAAGAAAAACAGCUGAAAGACCUUUCAGUGCUUCGCCAUUAAGAGCUCUCUUGGUUCUUCACAUUUUCCCAGAUGACAUCAAGAGACUUUGUAGAGUCUCGCGUCAAGUACAUUCAAAACGAACGUGUCCCACUGAGACUGUUCACUGCGACCGAAGCUGAAAAGCGUAGCGAACCCGCAGUUUAUCGAUUACCCAAUCAUUAGCUUUUCGGAAAUUUGCAUGCACUUCCGCUAUUUGAAUCCGGGAAGAGCUUUUAUCCGAACCUAGUUUCAAUUGAAUCAGUACUCGAAGAGCUAACGUGAUAUGAUCAUUGCUGUUCGUUACCGAAGAAGAGGCUCGUGCACAAGACAUUUCCUAACCACUGACCAUGUGAAUGGGUAUACAAAGGGAACUGCAGCUGCAGGCUGGAGUCCUUGGAAUACAGAGGCCCGUAUUCGCAAAUCGCUUUUAACUCCAAAAUUAUUUCUUUGUAGGAAAUUCAACGUAAGAAAAAACUAGUUACACCUUUAGCCCUAAAAACGACUCGUGAAUACGGACCAAAGUCUCGUUGACGCAUCAAAGUUUUUCAUUGGCCGAUUUAGACUCGAGGCAAAGUAACCGUAUUCAAUGCCGGGUACUAUAGAUCAGGGUAGAGUGAAUAAACGCGUAGCAAGUGUGGAACUGUCACUCGGUGCUGCGUUGGAAUUAUAUUUUUAUUUUUAUUUCGUAAUACUUCAUUCAGCAUUUGAAAAAUAGCGAAAAAGAGAAGAGCACAAGUCUCAUUGCUGCAUUUGUAAGUCACACUCUGGCUAUCAUGCAGAUAUUACCUUUCACAGGUAUGUAUAUUAUAAGAAUGUUUUAUACCCAGCCCUGUCUACGUAACCUAAGUCUUGUGUUUCUGAACGUGUUCACCGCAUGACGACAACCUC
Athalia rosae (coleseed sawfly) is the source of this 3762-nucleotide long non-coding RNA. RefSeq lists it as uncharacterized. The transcript is spliced from 4 exons. Lineage: Eukaryota; Metazoa; Arthropoda; Insecta; Hymenoptera; Athaliidae. The record is from RefSeq and is a predicted model, not a curated record.